UUAUUUCCACGGAAACUUCAGGAGAUGCAAAGAGCACAGUCCCAUUUGACAGAACGAAUUCCCGGCUACGGAACGCUGUUUUUUCCACGCAGUCACCACCAUUCACUAUGCCAGCGUAAUACAAUCGGAGGCAUUACUUAAAGAGCAGCCCCGGCACCAUUAACACGGCCCGGGGAGUUGCAGCUGUCGCUCCAUUGGGAUGACCAGCGAGUGCCGCAUCCUCGUGGUGUCCCCUCCGCUCCCCGACGCCCCGUGGCUGCGGCAGAAGCAGAGCUGCGUCCCCGUGCUCAACCCCUCUCCCUUCUCUGGAAUCUCAUUCCUUCACACUGUGGUGAAGAGGUGGGGAUGGCAGCCGUUGUGAUGGAGCAGAAGUGUGGUGCCAGGAGCUCCGCAAGCGCUUCACGUAGGACGGCACUAACGAAAGCCAUAUCACCGCUUCCGUCUCUUGUGAACAUGAGGUGUAGGAGAUCAGUAGAUUUAAUCUCAAAACACACUGAUUUUGCUGAAUCUGAGGACAUCACCCGGUUCGACUGACCUGCCAUAGGCUGCGCUAUGUGUGACAACAACAACAACGUAGAGAAAACACAGUGCUCGGUACAGCAUGUUCCCAGCUCCGUGUCUGAACUGCAUGCACUUGAGCUGCAUCCAUUUCCUCCUGUAAGUGCAGGGAGGCUGUCUCCAUUCAUCCCCUCUGUCCCUCAGCAAGAGCCCCCUGUGCACUCAGCUCUUCUCUCCUGAGAUCUGUGCCGACUCUUUGCCUCCGGAGAGGCCACUGCAGGCACAGGUAGUUGGGGCAGCCCAACACCGAGCAGCAGAAAUGCAUUUAAUGUCACGGAAUGUGCUGCUCUCCCUCAGCCCAAACAGCACAGAACAGAGAGCAGCGCAGAGGGGACGCCGGCGUGUCCUAAUGGAGAAGGACAAAUAUGUCUGAGACGAACCUUCAGAGCAUCUCAUACAGAGUGAGUUGGGAAGAAUGUAUUAUUUCAAAACCUCCGUGUUUGUCCAAGCAGGCGGAUAAUGGCAUUCUUGAGAACACAGCGUUGCUGUCACACAGCGCCCUCAGCACAGAUGGAGACUGAGCAGAACUGCUUAGGAAUACGUUGGGGCUUCAUGUGUUUACAGUCCAUCCUAAUGGCAGGGCGGCUGAUGCUGAGCUCAGCCCGAGCAGUGAAUGGAAGACGUUUCCACGCACUGCUGUUCUGUGUUGGGCUUUUAGGCGCUGCAUGCACCACGGUUUCCUCUCCAAGCACCCUCCUUGCUGUGCUGCAUGGACCCAUGGCUGAAUUCUCACCGGAGCAGGUCUGCAGCUCCUGUACACACAACAAACGUGAGGAAGGGGCUGUCAUCUCUCACCACGCUCAGAAGUAACAGCACAGCUAUAGUAGCAAAAAUCCUCCUCACCCUGCUGGAUGAAGCUGAGCAUGGCUCUUACCUUGGGGGAACCAUAUCCCUCCCUUCCACAGCUCUGUUCUCACACAGUGCCCCUUUUAUGUCAGAAGCAGUAUCUCUACGCUGUGACAGCACUGCAGCAAGGCAUCACUUUUAGUAAUGGUCAUCUGCCUCUUACCAGAAUUUAAAGCAACUCAGUGUCUUCUGUGAUAUCAAAAUGGGUGAACCAGAUUCCAAAACCACACCCGGGUCACCUCAGCAGAGUGGAACCACCAUCGUUAGUUUCUGGAUUUAACAUACAUCCCUACAAACUGCUCAUGAGAGAAGGGCAGAUCGAUUCUGGAGAGCUGUAAAAUUUUCAUCUCGUUUUGCUAUGAAAAUUUGAAACCUGACAGGUAUGAGCCUGGAGAGAACCUGCACUAGGUUUGCUUCAGCCUACCCCUGGUCCGUGAUGCAGCGCUUGCAGAGACCAUCGAUCCAUCUCAAGCGAGCACAGUGUAGAAAGGGCUUACAAUGGCCCUUUGAUUACAAGUUCUCUUGGAGGCAUCUGCUGCUGCUUUUUUUUUUUUUUCCAGUCCUGCAUCUGCAGGAACAUCUCCCUUAGCACUCAGUGGGAGAAAUCUGGAAGAGAACCAAACUGAAAUGAAUGGCAGAGCAGGUAUAAAGGAGCCAGUUGUGUUGCUGUGACUUGGCUUGUCCCACGUGCCCACUCACUUCAGCACUACCCAGGAAUCAAGUGAAGGAAGCAAGAGUCUCACUUUUCCCUCAAGUACCAUAACUGCAGUUGCUCUGCCACAUUAUCUUCAGCUCCUACCAAAGAAGCAGCUAUGCUUCCAUUUUCCUCCUCACUGAUGUAACAUGGAGAUGUCUGCUCCUGAGCUACAUCUCUGAUCUCUCCAGUCCUUCCCAGAGGACUGGGAGCUCUCAUUUGCAUGGAGAGUGCUUAUUUUUAUUGAGCUGGCUUGGCCUCCCCUGAUCUUUCUCAAGGGAACCCCCUAGAUGCCAUCUGCG
Gallus gallus (chicken) is the source of this 2400-nucleotide long non-coding RNA. Lineage: Eukaryota; Metazoa; Chordata; Aves; Galliformes; Phasianidae. The record is from Ensembl.